UACGUAGGGUGCAAGCGUUGUCCGGAAUUAUUGGGCGUAAAGAGCUCGUAGGCGGUUUGUCGCGUCUGCUGUGAAAACUCGGGGCUUAACUCCGGGCCUGCAGUGGGUACGGGCAGACUAGAGUGCGGUAGGGGAGACUGGAAUUCCUGGUGUAGCGGUGAAAUGCGCAGAUAUCAGGAGGAACACCGGUGGCGAAGGCGGGUCUCUGGGCAGUAACUGACGCUGAGGCGCGAAAGCUAGGGGAGCAAACGGG
Molecule: ribosomal RNA, 253 nt
Filed under: uncultured bacterium
Lineage: Bacteria
Description: partial 16S ribosomal RNA
Rfam family: Bacterial small subunit ribosomal RNA
Source: RNAcentral